GAUGAACGCUGGCGGCGUGCCUAAUACAUGCAAGUCGAGCGAACAGACGAGGAGCUUGCUCCUCUGACGUUAGCGGCGGACGGGUGAGUAACACGUGGAUAACCUACCUAUAAGACUGGGAUAACUUCGGGAAACCGGAGCUAACACCGGAUAAUAUAUUGAACCGCAUGGUUCAAUAGUGAAAGACGGUUUUGCCGUCACUUAUAGAUGGAUCCGCGCCGCAUUAGCUAGUUGGUAAGGUAACGGCUUACCAAGGCAACGAUGCGUAGCCGACCUGAGAGGGUGAUCGGCCACACUGGAACUGAGACACGGUCCAGACUCCUACGGGAGGCAGCAGUAGGGAAUCUUCCGCAAUGGGCGAAAGCCUGACGGAGCAACGCCGCGUGAGUGAUGAAGGUCUUCGGAUCGUAAAACUCUGUUAUUAGGGAAGAACAAAUGUGUAAGUAACUAUGCACGUCUUGACGGUACCUAAUCAGAAAGCCACGGCUAACUACGUG
Molecule: ribosomal RNA, 497 nt
Filed under: uncultured bacterium
Lineage: Bacteria
Description: partial 16S ribosomal RNA
Rfam family: Bacterial small subunit ribosomal RNA
Source: RNAcentral